Molecule: ribosomal RNA, 433 nt
Filed under: uncultured bacterium
Lineage: Bacteria
Description: partial 16S ribosomal RNA
Rfam family: Bacterial small subunit ribosomal RNA
Source: RNAcentral
AGCGAACGCUGGCGGCAGGCCUAACACAUGCAAGUCGAACGGAUCCUUCGGGAUUAGUGGCGGACGGGUGAGUAACACGUGGGAACGUGCCCUUUGGUUCGGAACAACUCAGGGAAACUUGAGCUAAUACCGGAUGUGCCCUUCGGGGGAAAGAUUUAUCGCUAUUGGAGCGGCCCGGGUCUGAUUAGCUAGUUGGUGAGGUAACGGCCCACCAAGGCGACGAUCAGUAGCUGGUCUGAGAGGAUGAUCAGCCACACUGGGACUGAGACACGGCCCAGACUCCUACGGAAAGGAGGAGUGGGGGAUCUUGCGCAAUGGGGGGAGGCCUGACGCUGCCAGGCCGCGUGAAUGAUGAAGGUCUUGGGAUAGUAAAAUUCUUUCAGCGGGGACGAUAAUGACGGUACCCGCAGAAGAAGCUCCGGCUAACUUCGUG